AGUGAACGCUGGCGGUAGGCCUAACACAUGCAAGUCGAACGGCAGCACAGUAAGAGCUUGCUCUUACGGGUGGCGAGUGGCGGACGGGUGAGGAAUACAUCGGAACCUACUUUUUCGUGGGGGAUAACGUAGGGAAACUUACGCUAAUACCGCAUACGACCUACGGGUGAAAGCAGGGGAUCUUCGGACCUUGCGCGAUUGAAUGAGCCGAUGUCGGAUUAGCUAGUUGGCGGGGUAAAGGCCCACCAAGGCGACGAUCCGUAGCUGGUCUGAGAGGAUGAUUCGCCACACUGGAAGUGAGAAACGGUACAGACUCCUACGGGAGGAAGCAGUGGGGAAUAUUGGACAAUGCGGGCAAGCCUGAUCCAGCCAUACCGCGUGGGUGAAGAAGGACUUCGGGUUGUAAAGCCAUUUUGUUGGGAAAGAAAAGCAGCAGGUUAAUACCCCGCUGUUCUGACGGUACCCAAAGAAUAAGCACCGGCUAACUUCGUG
Molecule: ribosomal RNA, 492 nt
Filed under: uncultured bacterium
Lineage: Bacteria
Description: partial 16S ribosomal RNA
Rfam family: Bacterial small subunit ribosomal RNA
Source: RNAcentral